CUCGUAGGCGGUUCGUCGCGUCCGGUGUGAAAGUCCAUCGCCUAACGGUGGAUCUGCGCCGGGUACGGGCGGGCUGGAGUGCGGUAGGGGAGACUGGAAUUCCCGGUGUAACGGUGGAAUGUGUAGAUAUCGGGAAGAACACCAAUGGCGAAGGCAGGUCUCUGGGCCGUUACUGGCGCUGAGGAGCGAAAGCGUGGGGAGCGAACA
RNAcentral lists this ribosomal RNA (207 nucleotides) under uncultured bacterium. RNAcentral describes it as "partial 16S ribosomal RNA". It matches the Rfam family "Bacterial small subunit ribosomal RNA", at positions 568 to 774 of the family's 1533-position model. The record is from RNAcentral.